This 2473-nucleotide unclassified non-coding RNA is filed under the name Pomacea canaliculata. Its description in RNAcentral is "uncharacterized LOC112566358, transcript variant X6". Lineage: Eukaryota; Metazoa; Mollusca; Gastropoda; Architaenioglossa; Ampullariidae. The record is from RNAcentral.
GCCGCUAUUAAAAAAAAACACAAAAAAGAGCGCCUGGUGCCUGUGGUGCGUCCCUAGACUUGAGUGUGUGGUGCGUCCCUAGACUUGAGUGUGUGGUGCGUCCCUAGACUCCGGGAUAGCACGGCCUUUUUGUCUUUGAUACAUCCCUACACCUAUCUACAUAACUGCUCAAGAUUCACGUCUACAUCGGUUUAGGUGCGCCCGGCUUGACGAGGUGGACAUUAAAGAAGAACUGUCAUGAAGGAGAAGCAGCAUUCCGACUUUGCAUCGCCAGUUUAUAAGAAAAGAUUCAGUAGGAGAACUACCACCCAACGACCAUUUAAGUUUGUUCGUAACAUUGAGUCUCAAGGGACUGCAAAAACCCAAGUUGUUGAACAGGUUGGCAGCAGAGGUGUUGUUAUAAGUUCUCCUGUCAACCUAAGUGAGCAUGGAGUGUCCAUCACAGACAUUGUUCAACAAAGUCCAGUUCCUGUCAUCAUUUCAUGUGGAGUUGAAUAUGACAAAGAAAGUAACAAAGCAGACAGCAAUGGAGAUGCAAGUAAUGCGUCCACACCACGACGCAGAACAGACGCAGGUAGUGUGUCCACACCACAAACCAGAGCAGAGGCAGAUGGUGUGUCUACACCUCGACGCAGCCAGCGCUCUCACCAGGCAUCAUUAGGCUUUCUUAGCCGCCUGCAGUACCCCCUCAAAACCCACCAGUUGACGAAGUUUCACUUCACCUCAGACAUGCUUCAUGCUGGGUCUCAGCCAGACAGUAACAUUGAUGAGGAGGUCCAUCUUAUGGACAGCGAGCAUGCAGCUAAACACCACCGUUCUCUCAGGCAAUCAGGCAAGUCUUCAGUGCAGAAGGUGACUACUGGGAAGAGUGCAUUUGAUGACAAGGCUGCUAGUUCAAGAUGUCAAACUUCCACAACUGCUGAUCCAUCUGCUGAGGAGAUGUAUAGCCCUAUCAGUAAUUCAGACACUGAGAAGUCUGUUGACAAGAGGACUUCUAUGAGAAGACCCCCACCUGCUGAAGGAUCAACUGCCAAGUAUACUUCUUCCACAUCUACUGUAGCAUUUGGUAAAAAAGUUGCCAGCAUCACUAAGCUCGACACAUCUGCACCAGCUGUGGCUGCCAGCGUAACCAGCCAGAGCCCAGAUCACACAGAGAGACUAAACACUUCCAAAAAAACAAGAUCAGCAGCACAGCCUUUCGAUUCAAUUAGUAGAUCAUCCAGAAGACUGUCUUUGACAGGAAAGUCAACUGGUGAAGAUGAUAACACUGAGACAGAUGAUAAGGAAGACUCUAAUAGUCACAUCUCUAUGGCCACAGACAAGUCAGAUUGUGUGUGGAGAGAUGAGUCGCCUUCUGGGACUGGCAGGGUCAGAGUUCGUAUUGCUCCUGGAUCUUUGGCAGGGGAUGUUGGCCAUGCUGGGAGAAGAGGACAAGGUAAAAGACACAAGAGAGUGGCCAUCCCCAAAGCACACAGCACACCAUGCAAAGAUAAUAAAUUUGUUUCCAAAGGGAAGAAACAACUGGCAUCUGUGACUGAAAAGACAGACAUAUUCCUUGAAGGGAGAUCUGCUGAUGAUGCAGAGAAACCAGAAGGUGGCUUUCUUAAAAUCAGCGGGAGGACAAGUCAUCAGGCAUCACACAUGAGAUCAGCGAUGGCAAAAAGUAGUAUGACCAUCCUGGCUGACAGGAAGAAAAGGCAAGUGUCUGCUGCUAGUCAUCAGAAGGAAAAACAAGCCAGGCUAAACAUCAGCAAUAGGAGAAGCCAGAAGGCAACAAGGCAGGAAAAGACUUUGACAUCUAUUUCUUCAGCUUCUAAGUCUCAGUCAUCCUCCCUUGGGAGGAGAAAACGAAAACAUAGCAUCAUGAGUGAUGAUGAUGUUCUGUCUUCAACCAGACAAAAAAAUGUUCAUAAUGAUCACAGCAAGUCUAUGCAGCAUGAGAACAGUGCAUCAUGUUCAAACCUACAGAAAGUGCCCCGCAGCACAAACAGAUAUAUGCUGCAGUCGGACACAACAUGGUCUUCAGUUUAUGAUGAUGAGACGUUUGGAGAACACACUGACCCUGAGCUGAAUGCAAGUGACAAAUUAACCAGGUCAAAUAAGGCCCAACAGUGGGUUCAGAGACAGCAACUGGCAAAAGUGCAUAAAAUCCAAGGGGAUAGCAUAACAAACAUGUUGGCAGAAACAGAGGCACAGGUCAUCAGCAGUGACCUGAUGUACCCGUUAGCAGAGAGAACAAUUCACAAGGCAUUUAAUUUUGUCAGAGGACAAAUGCAACAGAUGGCCCCAGGGUUCUGCACCAUACUACAGCACUGGUUGUACUUGUGCAUCAGAUAGUUUUUAAAACACUUCAAGACCUUAGGAUAUUACAGCAGAAAGAGACUCAGCAGUUGAAGGUACACGUUAACAAGCUGAAAGCACAGGUGAAGGGCCUUAGCCAGACCUCAAGAGAGUCUCAUCAGUUGAAGUUUCA